AGUGAACGCUGGCGGUAGGCCUAACACAUGCAAGUCGAACGGCAGCACAGUAAGAGCUUGCUCUUACGGGUGGCGAGUGGCGGACGGGUGAGGAAUACAUCGGAAUCUACUUUUUCGUGGGGGAUAACGUAGGGAAACUUACGCUAAUACCGCAUACGACCUACGGGUGAAAGCAGGGGAUCUUCGGACCUUGCGCGAUUGAAUGAGCCGAUGUCGGAUUAGCUAGUUGGCGGGGUAAAGGCCCACCAAGGCGACGAUCCGUAGCUGGUCUGAGAGGAUGAUCAGCCACACUGGAAGUGAGACACGGUCAAGACUCCUACGGGAGGCAGCAGUGGGGAAUAUUGGACAAAGGGCGCAAGCCUGAUCCAGCCAUACCGCGUGGGUGAAGAAGGCCUUCGGGUUGUAAAGCCCUUUUGUUGGGAAAGAAAAGCAGCAGGUUAAUACCCCGCUGUUCUGACGGUACCCAAAGAAUAAGCACCGGCUAACUUCGUG
RNAcentral lists this ribosomal RNA (492 nucleotides) under uncultured bacterium. RNAcentral's name for it is "partial 16S ribosomal RNA". It matches the Rfam family "Bacterial small subunit ribosomal RNA", at positions 29 to 507 of the family's 1533-position model. The record is from RNAcentral.